AGCAGCCGCGGUAAUUCCAGCUCCAAUAACGUACAUUAAAGCUGCUGCAGUUAAAAAGCUCGUAGUUGAAUUUCGGGACUAAUAUGUUGGUCGUGCCUCGGUACGUACUGGUAUUUUUGGUUUCUCCCUUCUGACGAACCUUGACGUCAUUAAUUUGGUGUCUUGGGAAAUCAGGACUGUUACUUUGAAAAAUUAGAGUGUUUAAAGCAGGCUCACGCUUGAAUACAUUAGCAUGGAAUAAUGAAAUAGGACAUUUGAUUCUAUUUUGUUGGUUUCUAGGAUCGACGUAAUGAUUAAUAGGGAUAGUUGGGGGCAUUAGUAUUCAAUUGUCAGAGGUGAAAUUCUUGGAUUUAUUGAAGACUAACUACUGCGAAAGCAUUUGCCAAGGAUGUUUUCAUUAAUCAAGAACGAAAGUUAGGGGAUCGAAGACGAUCAGAUACCGUCGUAGUC
Molecule: ribosomal RNA, 450 nt
Filed under: uncultured Glomus
Lineage: Eukaryota; Fungi; Glomeromycota; Glomeromycetes; Glomerales; Glomeraceae
Description: SSU rRNA
Rfam family: Eukaryotic small subunit ribosomal RNA
Source: RNAcentral